This 146-nucleotide ribosomal RNA is filed under the name uncultured bacterium. RNAcentral's name for it is "partial 16S ribosomal RNA". It matches the Rfam family "Bacterial small subunit ribosomal RNA", at positions 1353 to 1500 of the family's 1533-position model. The record is from RNAcentral.
CAUACUGCCGUGAAUGCGUUCCCGGGCCUUGUACACACCGCCCGUCACACCAUGAGAGUUGGAGAUACCCGAAGCCUGUGAGCUAACAAACGAGGCAGCAGUCGAAGGUAGAAUCAAUGAUUGGGGUGAAGUCGUAACAAGGUAGC